UUCAGCGCCGAUAGCACGUUGAAUACACCAGUUCACAAUGGAUCAUUGAAGGUAAGCAACGUUGUGCGUGGUUAGUAUCCGGAUGGGUGACCAUCUGAGCAAUCACACGUGCUCCUGGUU
RNAcentral lists this ribosomal RNA (120 nucleotides) under Diaphorina citri (Asian citrus psyllid). Lineage: Eukaryota; Metazoa; Arthropoda; Insecta; Hemiptera; Psyllidae. The record is from RNAcentral.